RNAcentral lists this ribosomal RNA (996 nucleotides) under Streptomyces niveus NCIMB 11891. RNAcentral's name for it is "bacterial LSU rRNA". It matches the Rfam family "Bacterial large subunit ribosomal RNA", at positions 276 to 1210 of the family's 2925-position model. Lineage: Bacteria; Bacillati; Actinomycetota; Actinomycetes; Kitasatosporales; Streptomycetaceae. The record is from RNAcentral.
GUAUGUGUGUGAUACCCGGCAGGGGUUGCGCAUGCGGGGUUGUGGGAUCUCUUUUCUGUCGUCUGCCGGCGACAGGGCGAGUCAGAAACCGUUGGUGUAGGCGAAGGACAUGCGAAAGGUCCGGCGUAGAGGGUAAGACCCCCGUAGCUGAAACAUCAACGGCUCGUUUAAGAGACACCCAAGUAGCACGGGGCCCGAGAAAUCCCGUGUGAAUCUGGCGGGACCACCCGCUAAGCCUAAAUAUUCCCUGGUGACCGAUAGCGGAUAGUACCGUGAGGGAAUGGUGAAAAGUACCGCGGGAGCGGAGUGAAAUAGUACCUGAAACCGUGUGCCUACAAGCCGUGGGAGCGUCGCUGUAUGUGUUUACACAUACAGUCGUGACUGCGUGCCUUUUGAAGAAUGAGCCUGCGAGUUUGCGGUGUGUUGCGAGGUUAACCCGUGUGGGGAAGCCGUAGCGAAAGCGAGUCCGAAUAGGGCGGUUUAGUAGCGCGCUCAAGACCCGAAGCGGAGUGAUCUAGCCAUGGGCAGGUUGAAGCGGCUGUAAGAGGUCGUGGAGGACCGAACCCACCAGGGUUGAAAACCUGGGGGAUGACCUGUGGUUAGGGGUGAAAGGCCAAUCAAACUCCGUGAUAGCUGGUUCUCCCCGAAAUGCAUUUAGGUGCAGCGUCGUGUGUUUCUUGCCGGAGGUAGAGCACUGGAUAGGCGAUGGGCCCUACCGGGUUACUGACCUUAGCCAAACUCCGAAUGCCGGUAAGUGAGAGCGCGGCAGUGAGACUGUGGGGGAUAAGCUCCAUGGUCGAGAGGGAAACAGCCCAGAGCAUCGACUAAGGCCCCUAAGCGUACGCUAAGUGGGAAAGGAUGUGGAGUCGCAGAGACAACCAGGAGGUUGGCUUAGAAGCAGCCACCCUUGAAAGAGUGCGUAAUAGCUCACUGGUCAAGUGAUUCCGCGCCGACAAUGUAGCGGGGCUCAAGCGUACCGCCGAAGUCGUGUCAUUC